GCCAUUAGCGCACCUUCUCCUUUUACUAGUUUUGUCAAAUUUCCGAUUGGAACAUAUUGGUAAGGGUGGAUUUGCAUGGCGGGUGAUACUUAAUUUACCGUGCAUCCGUUGUCGCUCCGUUUGGAGUUAAUGCGAUUCAUUCGAGUUUGUUUUAUUCCUUGAUUUGUGUCUUCCUAGAUGCAAGAGAUUUGAACAUUAGUAUACUACUGCUGCCUCUUAUUUAGUUGCUGAUGGAAUUUUCAACAUAUCUGAGCAC
RNAcentral lists this long non-coding RNA (256 nucleotides) under Mytilus galloprovincialis (Mediterranean mussel). The record is from RNAcentral. Lineage: Eukaryota; Metazoa; Mollusca; Bivalvia; Mytilida; Mytilidae.